UGCGUAGGCGGGUUUCUAAGUCAGAGGUGAAAGCCUGGAGCUCAACUCCAGAACUGCCUUUGAUACUGGAAGUCUUGAGUUCGGGAGAGGUGAGUGGAACUGCGAGUGUAGAGGUGAAAUUCGUAGAUAUUCGCAAGAACACCAGUGGCGAAGGCGGCUCACUGGCCCGAUACUGACGCUGAGGCACGAAAGCGUGGGAGGCAAACA
Molecule: ribosomal RNA, 207 nt
Filed under: uncultured bacterium
Lineage: Bacteria
Description: partial 16S ribosomal RNA
Rfam family: Bacterial small subunit ribosomal RNA
Source: RNAcentral